RNAcentral lists this small RNA (50 nucleotides) under Sellimonas intestinalis. RNAcentral describes it as "gut-2 RNA". It matches the Rfam family "gut-2 RNA". From Rfam's summary of the family: gut metagenomes. Environment (Cow rumen (57)) Lineage: Bacteria; Bacillati; Bacillota; Clostridia; Lachnospirales; Lachnospiraceae. The record is from Rfam by way of RNAcentral.
GGCAGUUUGAUAAAUCGGUAUCGAACGAAGGACUGAUAGGAGUCAGAAAU